ACUCCUGCGGGAGGCAGCAGUGGGGAAUUUUGGACAAUGGGCGAAAGCCUGAUCCAGCAAUGCCGCGUGAGUGAAGAAGGCCUUCGGGUUGUAAAGCUCUUUUGUCAGGGAAGAAACGGUGAGAGCUAAUAUCUCUUGCUAAUGACGGUACCUGAAGAAUAAGCACCGGCUAACUACGUGCCAGCAGCCGCGGUAAUACGUAGGGUGCAAGCGUUAAUCGGAAUUACUGGGCGUAAAGCGUGCGCAGGCGGUUUUGUAAGUCUGAUGUGAAAUCCCCGGGCUCAACCUGGGAAUUGCAUUGGAGACUGCAAGGCUAGAAUCUGGCAGAGGGGGGUAGAAUUCCACGUGUAGCAGUGAAAUGCGUAGAUAUGUGGAGGAACACCGAUGGCGAAGGCAGCCCCCUGGGUCAAGAUUGACGCUCAUGCACGAAAGCGUGGGGAGCAAACAGGAUUAGAAACCCCAGUAGUCCCAUG
Molecule: ribosomal RNA, 473 nt
Filed under: uncultured organism
Description: partial 16S ribosomal RNA
Rfam family: Bacterial small subunit ribosomal RNA
Source: RNAcentral